GACCCUGGUCUCCUCUUUCUUGUCUGGGAGUCGGCUGCAAUCGUGGCUUCAGAGCCAAGUUUUCAUCUUCAACCCACAUAGGCCCACCGUAUAUGUUGUCUAUGAGAAUAAUUCGACUAUAAUCUUCAAUUUCAAAUUCAUCAAUGGCUGGUCACUGGGAAUCCUCAUCUUCGCCAUUAGCCUCCAGCAACCAGGGGGAACAUCAUGGGUCCAAAAGCUUUCGCCUUGUCGGAAUGAAUUUUGAAGAUGACGGUCAUGAUUACGAACCUGUCAACAAGGCGAUGAGUCUAGAGCCAGAGAUGUAGGACAAGGAGCACAUCAGCCGACACCCGUAACCGCUGUCUUUCGUCGGCGAAUGUCCUGGUACACCACUCCCUUUCCGCACAGAUGAGUCAGUAGAUGUCGUCCUUAUCACUACUGAAUUUCUCAGGGGAAUGUCGUCUAAACCCGUUCAUCUCCUCCCAUUCAUCGGACAAGAUAUUGGUGUAUUGUAAAUGUUGAGAGCCUGCGAAUUGGCCUC
This 520-nucleotide small RNA is filed under the name Histoplasma ohiense. RNAcentral describes it as "hypothetical lncRNA". Lineage: Eukaryota; Fungi; Ascomycota; Eurotiomycetes; Onygenales; Ajellomycetaceae. The record is from RNAcentral.